Molecule: long non-coding RNA, 740 nt
Filed under: Gossypium barbadense (sea-island cotton)
Lineage: Eukaryota; Viridiplantae; Streptophyta; Magnoliopsida; Malvales; Malvaceae
Description: long non-coding RNA (GBAR_LNC021210)
Source: RNAcentral
AAACCCUAAGCCCAGCCCAAACCUAAACAAUUUUCAGCAAAAAAAGAGAGGAGAAGAACCCUAGCCGCCGCCCCACCUUGGCCCGCCACUACCAGUUGUCUGCCACCAGCACACCCACUUGCCUCCACCACUCUAUGCCUGCAAAAGAAGACAAAAAAGGACAGCAAAGAAAAACACCAAAAAAUGAAAUUCUUUGUAUUUUUUUUGAUUUUGGGCUAUAUAAAAGCCCUAUGGUCAUUGUAUUUAGGGGGGAUUUGGAUGUUUUUCAGGGGAGAUUUCAAAGGGAAGAAUCGGUUGUAUUUUGGGGGGACCCCCUUUUUUUUUUUCCUCUUCUCUCUUUCAAUUUCUUAACCAAAAGCAAACAAUUGAUAUCCGAAAUACUACAAUCUUAACAUCAAAAGGCAGAGAUUCGAACACCCAAAAAUCAGUAAAUCAACAAGUCAAAAAUCAGAACCGGAAACCUAAGGUGGUUGUGAAUCUAUUCUUGUUUUGUCUUUUGUUCUAUUUUCCCAUAUAUAUAUAUACUAAAAAAAUAUAAAAAUAACAAUAUAAUAUAAACAUAAAAAAAUAAAAAAAAUAUUUUUUUUACCUUUUCUGGCCACCGCGUGCGGUGGCCGACGCCGGCGCCGGCGAGCCUCCGGUGGCCGUCCGGUGACCGGCCCCCCUGGCCGGAUUUUCCUUCCCCCCUCCCUUCUCUCUCCCUUCUCUCUUCCCUCUCUCUUCUUUUUUUUUUCUUUCCC